AAGUCGUAACAAGGUUUCCGUAGGUGAACCUGCGGAAGGAUCAUUAACACGUUUCGUUCCGAACGUUUUGACCCUCCAAUUUUCCGUGCACCCAAACGCGUCCGGCCUCUCAGCCGCUCACUGGGUUUACUCAGUGUUGCCUGUUGGGCGUCUCUUCAGGAUCCAAAGUGAAUGAAAAAAAAGUUAGUUUCUGACUGACUCUUUUUUCGUUUGCUUCCUGAUUGGGCGUUGCCACCUCACCCAAACCCUUUAAUCUAACUGAUCUGAACUUUUAGUUGAACCAUUGGCAAGAAGUUUUCUUUUUGUCAAUAUCAACGACUUUGAACAAACAACAACUCUUAACAACGGAUAUCUUGGUUCUC
This 362-nucleotide unclassified non-coding RNA is filed under the name fungal sp. Its description in RNAcentral is "partial internal transcribed spacer region". The stretch from base 1 to 46 matches the Rfam family "Eukaryotic small subunit ribosomal RNA", at positions 1786 to 1831 of the family's 1831-position model. The record is from RNAcentral. Lineage: Eukaryota; Fungi.